GAGGAAUAUUGGUCAAUGGGCGCAAGCCUGAACCAGCCAAGUAGCGUGCAGGAAGACGGCCCUAUGGGUUGUAAACUGCUUUUAUACGAGAAUAAUUUGAUGCACGUGUGCGUUAUUGCAUGUAUCGUAUGAAUAAGGACCGGCUAAUUUCGUGCCAGCAGCCGCGGUAAUACGGAAGGUCCAGGCGUUAUCCGGAUUUAUUGGGUUUAAAGGGAGUGUAGGCGGUUUGUUAAGCGUGUUGUGAAAUUUAGGUGCUCAACAUUUAACUUGCAGCGCGAACUGUCAGACUUGAGUACACGCAACGUAUGCGGAAUUCAUGGUGUAGCGGUGAAAUGCUUAGAUAUCAUGAAGAACUCCGAUUGCGAAGGCAGCAUACGGGAGUGUAACUGACGCUUAAGCUCGAAGGUGCGGGUAUCGAACAGGAUUAGAUACCCUGGUAGUCCGCACAGUAAACGAUGGAUGCCCGCUGUUAGCGCCUGGCGUUAGCGGCUAAGCGAAAGCAUUAAGCAUCCCACCUGGGGAGUACGCCGGCAACGGUG
This 539-nucleotide ribosomal RNA is filed under the name uncultured bacterium. Its description in RNAcentral is "bacterial SSU rRNA". It matches the Rfam family "Bacterial small subunit ribosomal RNA", at positions 356 to 896 of the family's 1533-position model. The record is from RNAcentral.